This 229-nucleotide ribosomal RNA is filed under the name uncultured bacterium. Its description in RNAcentral is "partial 16S ribosomal RNA". It matches the Rfam family "Bacterial small subunit ribosomal RNA", at positions 104 to 334 of the family's 1533-position model. The record is from RNAcentral.
CGGGGUGAGUAAUGCUUGGGAAUCUAGCUUAUGGAGGGGGAUAACUACGGGAAACUGUAGCUAAUACCGUGUAGAAUCGGGAGAUGAAAGUGUGGGACCUUCGGGCCACAUGCCAUAGGAUGAGCCCAAGUGGGAUUAGGUAGUUGGUGAGGUAAAGGCUCACCAAGCCGACGAUCUCUAGCUGGUCUGAGAGGAUGACCAGCCACACUGGAACUGAGACACGGUCCAG